UUGCUGUCACUUAUAGAUGGAUCCGCGCUGCAUUAGCUAGUUGGUAAGGUAACGGCUUACCAAGGCAACGAUGCAUAGCCGACCUGAGAGGGUGAUCGGCCACACUGGAACUGAGACACGGUCCAGACUCCUACGGGAGGCAGCAGUAGGGAAUCUUCCGCAAUGGGCGAAAGCCUGACGGAGCAACGCCGCGUGAGUGAUGAAGGUCUUCGGAUCGUAAAACUCUGUUAUUAGGGAAGAACAUAUGUGUAAGUAACUGUGCACAUCUUGACGGUACCUAAUCAGAAAGCCACGGCUAACUACGUGCCAGCAGCCGCGGUAAUACGUAGGUGGCAAGCGUUAUCCGGAAUUAUUGGGCGUAAAGCGCGCGUAGGCGGUUUUUUAAGUCUGAUGUGAAAGCCCACGGCUCAACCGUGGAGGGUCAUUGGAAACUGGAAAACUUGAGUGCAGAAGAGGAAAGUGGAAUUCCAUGUGUAGCGGUGAAAUGCGCAGAGAUAUGGAGGAACACCAGUGGCGAAGGCGACUUUCUGGUCUGUAACUGACGCUGAUGUGCGAAAGCGUGGGGAUCAAACAGGAUUAGAUACCCUGGUA
This 591-nucleotide ribosomal RNA is filed under the name Staphylococcus aureus. RNAcentral's name for it is "bacterial SSU rRNA". It matches the Rfam family "Bacterial small subunit ribosomal RNA", at positions 209 to 792 of the family's 1533-position model. The record is from RNAcentral. Lineage: Bacteria; Bacillati; Bacillota; Bacilli; Caryophanales; Staphylococcaceae.